AUAAUGACAAGAAGUCCAUUCGCGAAAUCAGUGAAAUUGUUGGAAAAAAAGGCCAUAGUGCAUAAUAUUAUUUAAAGGUUAUAAAGUAACUGGCAAAGCAUGUGAUUAAAAGCGAAAUUGAAAGAACAGAUGGAAAAUUGAUGACCGCAAUUGUAGUUAAGUUAUCUGAUACAGACUUGAAAAAACAACUUCAAAAGGAAAAAACGUAGAAAUUUGUGCGGAAACGAUUUGCCGGCAAGUUUUAUGCUAUGGAGAAUCGCCGAAAACCACUUAGCUCGAUAAGACUCAAAAGUCUAGGUUGGUCUUUGCCAAAAAGUAUCAACAUGAAAACUUGGAUUUUUGGACUAAGUCCUAGGUUUUACUUCCAGAAGAAACCAAAAUAAAUAUUUUGGAUCAGAUUGUAAGCGUUUUGUGCAGGGAAUACCUGGAUAUGAACUGUUGGACAAGAAUAUUAAAAAAUAGGUGAAUGUGGAAUGUUCGGAAUUGGUUUUUAAUUUCAAUGUCUAUAAAUGUGCUUCUUACAUAUUGUAGGGCUACAAAGUUUUUUUUGCAAAAUUCUCCUUAAAUAAUAUUCUAAACAAUAUUGCAA
Long non-coding RNA from Bactrocera oleae (olive fruit fly), 589 nucleotides. RefSeq lists it as uncharacterized. Lineage: Eukaryota; Metazoa; Arthropoda; Insecta; Diptera; Tephritidae. The record is from RefSeq and is a predicted model, not a curated record.